RNAcentral lists this ribosomal RNA (497 nucleotides) under uncultured bacterium. Its description in RNAcentral is "partial 16S ribosomal RNA". It matches the Rfam family "Bacterial small subunit ribosomal RNA", at positions 28 to 507 of the family's 1533-position model. The record is from RNAcentral.
GAUGAACGCUGGCGGCGUGCCUAAUACAUGCAAGUCGAGCGAACGGACGAGAAGCUUGCUUCUCUGAUGUUAGCGGCGGACGGGUGAGUAACACGUGGAUAACCUACCUAUAAGACUGGGAUAACCUCGGGAAACCGGAGCUAAUACCGGAUAAUAUUUUGAACCGCAUGGUUCAAAAGUGAAAGACGGUCUUGCUGUCACUUAUCGAUGGAUCCGCGCUGCAUUAGCUAGUUGGUAAGGUAACGGCUUACCAAGGCGACGAUGCAUAGACGACCUGAGAGGGGGAUCGGCCACACUGGAGCUGAGACACGGUCCAGACUCCUACGGGAGGCAGCAGUAGGGAAUGUUCCGCAAUGGGCGAGAGCCUGACGGAGCAACGCCGAGUGAGUGAUGAAGGUCUUCGGAUCGUAAAACUCUGUUAUUAGGGAAGAACAUAUGUGUAAGUAACUGUGCACAGCUUGACGGUACCUAAUCAGAAAGCCACGGCUAACUACGUG